Gallus gallus (chicken) is the source of this 1603-nucleotide long non-coding RNA. RefSeq lists it as uncharacterized. The record is from RefSeq and is a predicted model, not a curated record. The transcript is spliced from 2 exons. Lineage: Eukaryota; Metazoa; Chordata; Aves; Galliformes; Phasianidae.
GUCCGGCUGCUGCAGAGAGCGGCAGUCCGCAGCAUCCCCGUGGAGAGCCCCGCUUAGCGGCGAGCCCGGGUUAGCGCUGAGCCCCGCUUAGCGGUGAGUCCGCCCGCACCUCCCCUGUCACUCACAGGAUCAGCAGCCCGUAGCCCUCGUCGCGAUAGUCCCGAUAGGCUUUCCAGGGUUUGAUCUCCAGGCGCUGCGGGCAGGAGCUCUCCCGGCGGUACAGAGAUUCCAGCAGGCAGGGGGCUCCGAUGUGAACCGAGUCGAAAGCCCCCAGCUUCAUUCGGAAGAUCUUCCCAAACCUUCUGUGGUACUCAGCCUGGGGGGUGCAGAAUAGAAUCCCCCACGAUGAGCGUGGGGCGCACCCGCCUCGACCCUCAUCCCCGCCCCGCAGCAUCCCCAUCCCUGAGUGCUCACCAGCGUCUCGUGCUGCCUCUUGAGCCCCCCCUUCCAGAGCACGUCGGGCAGGCUGCCCAUCAACGGCCAGCUGGGGGGCCCGGGCAGCGCGGCCAGGGGAUGCCCACGGCCCCGCAGUGCGCACAGCGCGGACGCCGCCCGCGGCACCGAACCUCCGCGCCCGGCGGGGAUGAGCGCGGCGCGGCCGCAGGUGAGGGCGGAGGAGCGGAGAAGGAUGCUGCAGCCUCCCAUAGCGGCACCGACGGCCGCCCAUUUGCCACUGGCAGCAGAGGAGCAGUCUGACAGAGUGGUGUCUGACAUGGAAGUGCAUGUGAAGCAACAGAGGGCCACUGAAUUCCUCCAUGCGGACAAAAAUGGCACCCAUUGGUAUUCAUCAACGUUUGCUGAACACUUAUGGUGACCAAACAGUGGAUAUCAGCACAGUGAGGUGGCGGUGGUGCGUUUCAGCGGUGGUGACAGUGUUGUGAAAGACAAGCCAUGUUCCGGAUGGCCAUGUACAACUGUCACAACAUGAAAUAAACAGCAUCUCAAUCAGAUCGUCCAUAUGAAUCAGCUACUGGUGGUGACUAUGUUGAAAAACAGUGUUUUGUAGCUGGGAAUUUAUUCUAUCAAAUAGUGUUAUUGUGCUCUUUGUUGUAGUUUCCAUUGAAAUAAAUAGGAGGCGUUGCUUUUGGAGCAACCUAUUUAUAUGAACAUACAAGAGGGUUUGGAUGGUGAUGGUGGUGUUGACUAACAGAAGGGAUUUUCUUUCUCUGAAAGAACAAGAUUAAAAAAUUGGAGCAAAUCUGCCUCCUUUACCUCAGAUCAGAAAAGAAUGGAAAACAGCAGGGUGGCCAAGGAUUUGUCCUGUAAAUGCUUAAGAUCUGUAUUGUUAGGAGCUGGUAUGUCCUUUUGGAGAAGAACACCCUUAGAAGGAGAUUUUUUAAAGGAUUUUUUUCCCCAUCUCUCUUCCCCCCCCCCCCCCCCACUACAAGAAGGGCAGAUGUAGACAUCCUGACAUAAAAUAACUUUAUAUCAGAAUAAGUCAUAUUAUCUAAUAUUGGAAACACCAUGCUGCUAUUAGCACUAUGCCUACAUGAUAAGGAAAGUGAGCCACUUCAUUUUUAUUGACCCUGCUAAAAUUGUACAGCUUUGUGAGGCUUUUGAUGGUAGCGAUUCAUUUCAUAAAAUCUAUGCCUACACAAACCAA